RNAcentral lists this long non-coding RNA (333 nucleotides) under Lathyrus oleraceus (garden pea). Its description in RNAcentral is "Pisum sativum (pea) long non-coding RNA (PSAT_LNC026051)". Lineage: Eukaryota; Viridiplantae; Streptophyta; Magnoliopsida; Fabales; Fabaceae. The record is from RNAcentral.
UUUCAUGCAAAAUGACAAAACAACAGAAAAUUACUCUGUCAGAAGAGUAACUUGAACCACUUCUUCAGCCGUCCAGUUGUUGAUAGACCCCCCUGGUGCACACGGGCGAACCCAGUUGUCCAAAUCACAAUCGCUGUCACAGUCUUCACUACCGGUUGCAGAGACGUCGCCAUGAUUCAUCAGCCCAGCGCUGGUAAAGGUACUCGGACCCGCUUGACCAUUCUGCUCUGCUCGGAGAGGCUCAUAACCAACACCAAAUUUGUCUUCUUUAACCGGCAAAUCCACCAUCUUGCCCCAGCCUUCAGUUUUGCCAGAAUCAACAACCUCCUUAGC